RNAcentral lists this unclassified non-coding RNA (212 nucleotides) under Hevea brasiliensis (rubber tree). The record is from RNAcentral. Lineage: Eukaryota; Viridiplantae; Streptophyta; Magnoliopsida; Malpighiales; Euphorbiaceae.
GGCAUAGGAUCAAAGUUUCUUUAGUUCAUGGAGUUUUAUGAUAUGACAAAAUAAUAAGAUUUACUUCGUUAAAAACAAAAUUCACAAGCAAAAGUGGCCCUUUUAAACCAUGUUUGCCAUUGUUGUUGCUAAAUGUGAAUAGCAACUUUUAGACAAACUCUUUGUUAGAAAAUUUCUUUGGUAGUGGUCAUAGACGAUAUAUUUUCACAAUU